RNAcentral lists this ribosomal RNA (238 nucleotides) under uncultured bacterium. RNAcentral describes it as "partial 16S ribosomal RNA". It matches the Rfam family "Bacterial small subunit ribosomal RNA", at positions 96 to 334 of the family's 1533-position model. The record is from RNAcentral.
CGGUGGACGGGUGAGUAACGCGUGGGUAACCUACCCUGUACACACGGAUAACAUACCGAAAGGUAUGCUAAUACGGGAUAAUAUAUUUGAGAGGCAUCUCUUAAAUAUCAAAGGUGAGCCAGUACAGGAUGGACCCGCGUCUGAUUAGCUAGUUGGUAAGGCAACGGCUUACCAAGGCGACGAUCAGUAGCCGACCUGAGAGGGUGAUCGGCCACAUUGGAACUGAGACACGGUCCAA